ACUGCUGAAAAUCUGCAUCUCUGUCUCC
RNAcentral lists this non-coding RNA (28 nucleotides) under Bombyx mori (domestic silkworm). The record is from RNAcentral. Lineage: Eukaryota; Metazoa; Arthropoda; Insecta; Lepidoptera; Bombycidae.